UAGGGAAUAUUGGACAAUGGGCGCAAGCCUGAUCCAGCCAUGCCGCGUGAGUGAAGAAGGCCCUCGGGUUGUAAAGCUCUUUUGUUGGGGAAGAAAAGCCUUGGGUUAAUACCCUGAGGUUCUGACGGUACCCAAAGAAUAAGCACCGGCUAACUUCGUGCCAGCAGCCGCGGUAAUACGAAGGGUGCAAGCGUUACUCGGAAUUACUGGGCGUAAAGCGUGCGUAGGUGGUUCGUUAAGUCUGAUGUGAAAGCCCUGGGCUCAACCUGGGAAUUGCAUUGGAUACUGGCGAGCUAGAGUGCGGUAGAGGGUAGUGGAAUUCCCGGUGUAGCAGUGAAAUGCGUAGAGAUCGGGAGGAACAUCUGUGGCGAAGGCGACUGCCUGGACCAGCACUGACACU
Molecule: ribosomal RNA, 400 nt
Filed under: uncultured bacterium
Lineage: Bacteria
Description: bacterial SSU rRNA
Rfam family: Bacterial small subunit ribosomal RNA
Source: RNAcentral